CAAUAGCGUAUAUUAAAGUUGUUGCAGUUAAAAAGCUCGUAGUUGGAUUUCUGAUCGAGACAUCAGGUCGGGUCCGAGAGGAUCAUGUACUUUGAUUUGUUUUGAUCAUCCUUGGGGAGAGCAUUUCUGGCAUUCAGUUGUCGGGAUUGGGAUCCUCAUCGUUUACUGUGAAAAAAUUAGAGUGUUCAAAGCAGGCCUCGGCCUCUGAAUACAUUAGCAUGGAAUAAUAAGAUAGGACUUUGGUGGUCUAUUUUGUUGGUUUGCACGCCAAAGUAAUGAUUAAUAGGGAUAGUUGGGGGUAUUCGUAUUCAAUUGUCAGAGGUGAAAUUCUUGGAUUUAUGGAAGACGAACUACUGCGAAAGCAUUUACCAAGGAUGUUUUCAUUGA
Molecule: ribosomal RNA, 387 nt
Filed under: uncultured eukaryote
Lineage: Eukaryota
Description: partial 18S ribosomal RNA
Rfam family: Eukaryotic small subunit ribosomal RNA
Source: RNAcentral